Molecule: long non-coding RNA, 1202 nt
Organism: Gasterosteus aculeatus aculeatus (three-spined stickleback)
Lineage: Eukaryota; Metazoa; Chordata; Actinopteri; Perciformes; Gasterosteidae
Source: Ensembl
GUCCCAACAGCCAAUGACUGCAGGCAUUUGCUGUUUGGCAUGAGACCACAAUGACGUCUGUAUUACCAGUAAAAAGUACAGUAUGUUUCUCACCACGGCGCCCCCCUGCGACGUGGAAGCACACCCCUGCCUCUCAAACACCAGCUGCGCAGGGAAGAGGCCGUAUCGGAGGACUGUGAUUGGAUUGGAGGAGCCGGCCAUGUUGCCUGUCAGUGUCUCAGGAUGUGUCCAGCGGCCAAUCGGCAGCCGCCCGGUCGGCUUACCACAGCCACGGCGGAGCUUUGAAGAUAGUGCUACUGGGACAGAACGACGUGGGCAAGUCGUCGCUAGCCUUAUCUCUGGCCGGGCAAUCGGACAGAUCCCUCUCUAUAGACUCUGAGAUGCGAGCAUGUGGUAAAGACCUGGAUGGCGAUUGAUGGAUUUGGAUUUUUAAAUCUGUCUGAAGGGUUACUUUAGAAAUGCUUCAUUCACACACUGCGUUAGCUAAGCUUAACAAUUACUUGUCAAAAGUCAGGUGAACAGAUUGAUACCACUCUGAUGUCUUCAGGCUAGACAUGAGCCUGGAGGUAGCAAUUAGCUAGCCUAGCUUAGCAUAAAACACAAAACAGAUAUUCUACAGAGGUUAUAAAAUGGCUUCUGGUUGCAGAGCCGGGGUAAGCUGAUUGCGCCCUUUUUCCAGUCUUCAUGCUAAGCUAAUACAACAAGCUUCCCUUUGGGUCCCCCUCAUGCAUAAAGCUGACUUGGCCGUGACUCACGACAUACAGGAUUCAUUACUGCCCAUGUUGUACACUUGGACUCAUGCAUCAUAAAUGGAUAGAAAAACUACUUCCUUCCAAGAAGCUUGUGCACUAUUUCCAUCAAGCCAAUUUUUAACAAAGCUGUAAAUUGUUCUAUAAGCUACACGUCAAAAAUUGUAAAGUGUAAAACAUAACAUUUUACUAAAAAUAAACUAAUCAACACCUAUUUAAUUACUGCUUUUACAACAGUUUUCAGCAGAUGCUCUAGCAGCCCCGUGAGUGGGUUAACACCUCACUAAUCAAUACGUGUCCUCACAAAGUAAUUACUGGUGAAAUAUAGUGAGACCCUAUUAACACCAAGGCAUUUGCUGUGCGGUAUCGAUUUCAAGCUGUUAUGGGCUUCUUUAUAUUUUAAAAGCUUCACUGCAGUUAUAGGUAGUUUAUUACAUUUAUCAAGUGAAUUAA